This 2967-nucleotide ribosomal RNA is filed under the name Triticum aestivum (bread wheat). RNAcentral's name for it is "partial small subunit ribosomal RNA". Lineage: Eukaryota; Viridiplantae; Streptophyta; Magnoliopsida; Poales; Poaceae. The record is from RNAcentral.
CUGACAGCUCGCGACUCGGCUGAUCUUUUAAAAAAAUCAGCCGGCGAAAGCGUAGCAGCGCCCUCAAAUAAAUAAAGAAGAGAAAACGUGGACACACUGUUUGCCAACGAGAUAACCCGCCGAGCCGCCCGAAGGCGGCAGGCGGCGCGUGCCGUACCCGCACAAGCAAAUCGAACAAAUUAAAAAAAAGGAGGCACUCAUCAACGGGGGCGGGACGAGCGGGGUGAUGGGCCGACCGACGGCGACGGUGCAGGCCGGGGAGCGAGCCGGGCGAGUCGCGUUGUGCGCGGCAGGUGGGGGACCCCGACCCCGGCGCCGCAGCAGUACAACCAGCACAACCAUAGAGAGCAGACUCAAACAGGGUAGAGAAGCCACGCGGAAGUUUCGUUCCGGGGAGUCAAAGCCAAGCCACGCUUCGCUCACACGCGCGCACGCACGCACGCACAGGCAGCGCUCUCCCCCUCUCUCCCUCUCUCCACAUCGCAUCGGCGCGGCGGGCCUGGCCUUUACUCUCUCCUCCCGCCCUCCCCCUCACACGCUUUGCCUUUGCCCACGAAAAGGACAACCAACCCGGAGCGACGCAGCCAGGCAGGGGUGAAGAGAAGAGAGAAGGAAAAAAAAGGCAUAGGCAUCAUUCCCAGCAUCGGGUUCUACGGAGGAGGUGCCGGUGUGGACAUCUGAUCCAUUUGGAGGGUAUUGACCGCUUCAGAGCUAGAGCUCCUCUGGCCUGUGGGCGGCUGCUGGAUUGGUCAAUAUAAUAGGCUCUCUAGUCUUAGAGAUGAUGCCAUUGUGAGCACAAGAUGGAUUCCGCGAGAAGUUGGUUCCAGAAGUUCCAGCCGCGGGACAAGUCCAAGAGCCCGGCGGUGCCUGCCAGCCAUGGGAAGGAUCCCGGGAAGCCCCCGGUCGACGACGCGCCUUCUAGCGCGACCAAGCAGAAGGUCGCCGCGGCAAAACAGUACAUUGAGAACCACUACAAGACUCAGAUGAAGUCCUUGCAAGAUAGGAAAGAGAGGCGCUGGAUGCUGGAGAGGAAAUUACAGGAUGCUGAAGUUCCUGCAGAAGAGCAGAACAACAUUCUAAAACAUUUGGAGAAAAAGGAGACUGAAUAUAUGCGUUUGCAAAGACACAAGAUGGGGGUUGAAGAUUUUGAACUUUUGACAAUUAUUGGAAGAGGUGCAUUUGGAGAGGUGCGUCUUUGUAGAGAGAAGACCUCUAAAAGCGUAUAUGCAAUGAAAAAGCUUAAGAAAUCUGAAAUGCUUCGUAGGGGCCAGGUGGAACACGUCAAAGCCGAAAGAAACCUUCUUGCAGAAGUCGAUAGUGCGUACAUAGUAAAGCUUUACUAUUCUUUUCAAGAUGAUGAGUUCUUGUAUCUCAUCAUGGAGUACCUUCCUGGUGGUGACAUGAUGACUUUGCUCAUGCGCAAGGACACUCUGACAGAAGAUGAAGCAAAAUUUUACAUCGCAGAAACUGUACUAGCAAUAGAGUCCAUUCACAAGCACAAUUACAUUCACAGGGAUAUCAAGCCAGAUAAUUUAUUGUUAGAUCUCAGUGGUCACUUGAAGCUUUCUGACUUUGGAUUGUGCAAACCUUUGGAUAGCAGUAAUUUUCCAAAUUUGAAUGAACCGGAUUAUACACCUGGAAAAGGUGCUAAACCUUUACCCGAUAACACCAGUCGAUUAACUAACUCUUCUGCACCGAAGCGUACGCAGCAGGAGCAGCUGUCACAUUGGCAAAAGAACCGUCGGAUGUUGGCGUAUUCUACAGUUGGUACUCCUGAUUACAUUGCUCCAGAGGUUCUAUUGAAGAAAGGAUAUGGAAUGGAGUGUGACUGGUGGUCCCUUGGUGCUAUCAUGUAUGAAAUGCUAGUUGGUUAUCCCCCAUUUUAUUCGGAGGAUCCAAUGUCAACCUGCAGAAAGAUUGUGAACUGGAGAAGUCACCUGAAAUUUCCUGAAGAGGCAAAGCUUUCUUCUGAAACUAAGGAUCUCAUUAGCAAACUUCUCUGUAAUGUUGAGCAGAGACUUGGAACAAAAGGAGCCCAUGAAAUAAAAGCACAUACAUGGUUUAGAGGUGUCCAAUGGGAAAAGUUGUAUCAGAUGAAAGCUGCUUUCAUACCAGAAGUUAAUGGCGAGUUGGAUACUCAGAACUUUGAGAAAUUUGAGGAGACUGGAGCACAAGUUCAGAGUUCAUCUAAGGCGGGUCCAUGGAGAAAGAUGCUUCCAUCCAAGGAUGCAAAUUUUGUUGGGUACACGUACAAGAACUUUGAAAUUGUGAAUGACGAUGAAGUUGCCGGGAUUGCCGAGCUGAAGAAAAAGAGCUCCAAAUCAAAACGGCCAACCAUCAAGACAUUGUUUGAGAGCAUGGAUGAAGAUGAACCUGUGCACGGCAGUUUCUUAAAUAUGUUGCCCCAUAAGGAGGGACAACCUUCUUCUCACUCAAGCGCCCCACCAGAACAAUACCAACCUCGACGUAAAUAGGAUAUGGAGGUUUUAAAAAGUAAACCACAGAAAAGUAAAAGAGAGGAAAAAAAAAACUGUUGCCUUUUGGUCUUGGUGUUACCCCGUCCAGCUUUUGUAAAUCCUAACCGAUGCUUUCUUUUUAGUGAAUUUGUUAAAACAAAAUCCAUCCCCUGUCUCCAAAAUAGUAUGGUGUUUGAUGUUAGCAGUGAUGCCUGUUUGGUUCGCCGUAUGUUGGUUUGACAGUCUCGGCGAUGGGUCCCCGGCUAUUACUGGCUACAGCAUAAGUGUAUACUGUUACCAGCUCUGACGAGCAUGUGUAUUACAAUUGAAUUCACCUCUGCUUUUCUGAACCUUUUGAAGAGGUUUUUAUAGCUCACAGUAAAACUGACUGAUAUGGUUAUCAAGAUCUUGACAGGCAAUGAUGAUUUGUGGGUUACGUUUGUUCUGGUUUUGCCUUACUGAAACCCUAUUGCAAUCAUCUCAGCCGGUUUGCUUUAAUGCUUCUAUGUGC